UAGCAGGACAACGGUAGAGUUGGGC
RNAcentral lists this non-coding RNA (25 nucleotides) under Mus musculus (house mouse). The record is from RNAcentral. Lineage: Eukaryota; Metazoa; Chordata; Mammalia; Rodentia; Muridae.